This 425-nucleotide ribosomal RNA is filed under the name uncultured bacterium. RNAcentral's name for it is "bacterial SSU rRNA". It matches the Rfam family "Bacterial small subunit ribosomal RNA", at positions 28 to 451 of the family's 1533-position model. The record is from RNAcentral.
AUUGAACGCUGGCGGCAUGCUUUACACAUGCAAGUCGAGCGGCAGCGCGGGGGCAACCCUGGCGGCGAAGCGGCGAAACGGGUGAGUAAUGCAUCGGAACGUACCCUGGAGUGGGGGAUAACGCCGCGAAAGCGGCGCUAAUACCGCAUAUGCUCUGAGGAGGAAAAUGGGGGACCGCAAGGCCUCACGCUCUGGGAGCGGCCGAUGUCCGAUUAGCUAGUUGGUGGGGUAAAGGCUUACCAAGGCGACGAUCGGUAGCUGGUCUGGAGGAUGAUCAGCCACACUGGGACUGAGACACGGCCCAGACUCCUACGGGAGGCAGCAGUGGGGAAUUUUGGACAAUGGGGGCAACCCUGAUCCAGCCAUGCCGCGUGAGUGAGAAGGCCUUCGGGUUGCGAAGGCGUCUUUUGGUUCGGGUAAGAAAG